Molecule: long non-coding RNA, 957 nt
Filed under: Olea europaea subsp. europaea
Lineage: Eukaryota; Viridiplantae; Streptophyta; Magnoliopsida; Lamiales; Oleaceae
Source: RNAcentral
GUAACGAUCCUCAAAAUUUUACGUCAUAUUUCAUGUAAGACUUCCGGAUGAAACGAUAUAAAUUAUAUUGAAAAAUUUAUCGUGCAAAAAUAAUAAUUAAUUGAAUUUUUUAAAAUAAAAAAUGAGUUAGACGUCUUUUUUGAGAUGUACGUUUGAUACAUAUUUAACUAUUUUCGAUAUCCGUUUGGACCAUUUAAUAUGAAAACGACGUAGUUUUUCGAAACAAACUUUUACAUGGCAUAGACGAUUUGUGGAUUCAGAUAGCACAUGAUCGCAAACGAAUUUUUAAAGUUAGGAUAUUAUCGAAAUUCUCAAAAUACUAAUUUCAAACGCCCUACUUUAACAUGUCAUAACUUUUGCUAUAUUUGACCACUUCGCAUGCCAUUAAUGAGUGAAAAAUUAGGCCAUGAGUACUUCGAAAUGGUAUUAAUAAUGUAAUAUUUUCACCGAUAAAAAAAAAGAAUGCAAUAUUUUGACUUCAUUUGGUAUCCCGAUAAGUGCAUAAAAAAAAAGGGGGGGGGGAUUUUGUGGGGUCAUUUGACCCCACAUGACCCCAUAUGGGUCCGUCCCUGAAAGUAAGAAAAAUAUAUCCAAUGCUUAACGCGAAAAUCAUAGUUUUGUAAUAACUGGAUUAGGCAGAAAUAGUAGAGGAUCUACACACAUACACUAUGCAAUUACAACACUCUUUUCACACAACAUGGAUAAGAUAAAUACCAAAUAGACUAUUGUUAGGAAAGAAUUGCCCAGGAUAAUGAAAAAUAGCAAAACUUGGAUAUGGAUUUCACUAAGGAAUAAUGCGGCUCUACUAUGAAAUAAGAACAGAGGAUUAUAAGAAGAGUUUCAAAUAGGAGUUACAAAUGAGAUAUCAAAGUCUCUAUCUCUCUUAAAACAAAAAGAACAAACUCUAUCUAUCACAAAUCCUCACUUAGUGCUCAAUUGUUUUUGGUACACACUCCU